Molecule: small RNA, 78 nt
Filed under: Flavobacterium segetis
Lineage: Bacteria; Pseudomonadati; Bacteroidota; Flavobacteriia; Flavobacteriales; Flavobacteriaceae
Description: Flavo-1 RNA
Rfam family: Flavo-1 RNA
Source: RNAcentral
CUCUAGCCCCGAUUGCAAUGAAAAUCCUUUUUUAUCGCCGUAGCGAAAAAAAGAUUGUAAUGAAAAGCGGGAAAUAGC